Molecule: ribosomal RNA, 268 nt
Filed under: uncultured Desulfobulbus sp.
Lineage: Bacteria; Pseudomonadati; Thermodesulfobacteriota; Desulfobulbia; Desulfobulbales; Desulfobulbaceae
Description: partial 16S ribosomal RNA
Rfam family: Bacterial small subunit ribosomal RNA
Source: RNAcentral
GUUGCCAGCAGUUCGGCUGGGCACUCUAAGGGACUGCCGGUGUUAAACCGGAGGAAGGUGGGGAUGACGUCAAGUCCUCAUGGCCUUUAUGACCAGGGCUACACACGUACUACAAUGGCCGAUACAAAGGGCAGCGACACGUGCGAGGUGAAGCCAAUCCCGUAAAAUCGGUCUCAGUCCGGAUUGGAGUCUGCAACUCGACUCCAUGAAGUUGGAAUCGCUAGUAAUCGUGGAUCAGCAUGCCACGGUGAAUACGUUCCCGGGCCUU